Molecule: non-coding RNA, 45 nt
Filed under: Schistosoma curassoni
Lineage: Eukaryota; Metazoa; Platyhelminthes; Trematoda; Strigeidida; Schistosomatidae
Source: RNAcentral
AUCUAGUUGAAGAGUCAAAAAUAGGAUGAUACAUGCGUCCUAGAU